UACAGAGGUGACAAACGUUGUCCGGAAUCACUGGGCGUAAAGGGCACGUAGGCGGUUUGGUAAGUCAGAUGUGAAAUCUUAGGGCUCAACCCUGAAAUUGCAUUUGAAACUACUAAACUUGAGUUCGGUAGAGGAGGGCGGAAUUCCUGGUGUAGCGGUGAAAUGCGUAGAUAUGAGGAGGAAGACCGGUGGCGAAGGCGGCCCUCUGGUCCGAUACUGACGCUGAUGUGCGGAAGCGUGGGGAGCAAACAGG
Molecule: ribosomal RNA, 253 nt
Filed under: uncultured bacterium
Lineage: Bacteria
Description: partial 16S ribosomal RNA
Rfam family: Bacterial small subunit ribosomal RNA
Source: RNAcentral